AUAGCCCUGCGGUGUUCGUGGGACUCGGGGAGUUUCGAGCCAACACCAAUACAAGAGGAGCCUGGGCUCUGGUUGUGGCUUGUAUGCCCUGACAGCAUCUUCCGUGAGGAGGAUGCUGGGAGUUGCUCUUGUGUUAGAGCACACUCCUUCACGGAGUGGAGCGAGGGACACAAAAAGCAACCAGGAGGGCACCACCGUGCUGAGCCGAGGUUCGGAAACACCCAGUAGCCACGGCAACCGCGGGGUUAUU
This 250-nucleotide non-coding RNA is filed under the name Peptococcaceae bacterium. RNAcentral's name for it is "6S RNA". It matches the Rfam family "6S / SsrS RNA". Rfam says of the family: E. coli 6S RNA was the first non coding RNA to be sequenced, but its function was unknown until recently. The record is from RNAcentral. Lineage: Bacteria; Bacillati; Bacillota; Clostridia; Eubacteriales; Peptococcaceae.